This 487-nucleotide ribosomal RNA is filed under the name uncultured Blastococcus sp. Its description in RNAcentral is "bacterial SSU rRNA". It matches the Rfam family "Bacterial small subunit ribosomal RNA", at positions 8 to 507 of the family's 1533-position model. The record is from RNAcentral. Lineage: Bacteria; Bacillati; Actinomycetota; Actinomycetes; Geodermatophilales; Geodermatophilaceae.
AGAGUUUGAUCCUGGCUCAGGACGAACGCUGGCGGCGUGCUUAACACAUGCAAGUCGAGCGAGACCCCUUCUUCGGGAGGGUGUUCUAGCGGCGAACGGGUGAGUAACACGUGGGCAACCUGCCCUCAGCUCUGGGAUAACUCCAAGAAAUUGGGGCUAAUACCGGAUAUGACCGCUGACCGCAUGGUCUGGUGGUGGAAAGAUUUAUCGGCUGGGGAUGGGCCCGCGGCCUAUCAGCUUGUUGGUGGGGUAGUGGCCUACCAAGGCGACGACGGGUAGCCGGCCUGAGAGGGUGACCGGCCACACUGGGACUGAGACACGGCCCAGACUCCUACGGGAGGCAGCAGUGGGGAAUAUUGCGCAAUGGGCGGAAGCCUGACGCAGCGACGCCGCGUGGGGGAUGACGGCCUUCGGGUUGUAAACCUCUUUCAGCAGGGACGAAGCGGAAGUGACGGUACCUGCAGAAGAAGCACCGGCCAACUACGUG